UACGAAGGGGGCUAGCGUUGCUCGGAAUUACUGGGCGUAAAGGGCGCGUAGGCGGAUGACUAAGUUGGGGGUGAAAGCCCGGGGCUCAACCUCGGAACUGCCUUCAAUACUGGUCAUCUUGAGUUCGGGAGAGGUGUGUGGAACUCCGAGUGUAGAGGUGAAAGUCGUAGAUAUUCGGAAGAACACCAGUGGCGAAGGCGACACACUGGCCCGAUACUGACGCUGAGGCGCGAAAGCGUGGGGAGCAAACAGG
This 253-nucleotide ribosomal RNA is filed under the name uncultured bacterium. RNAcentral's name for it is "partial 16S ribosomal RNA". It matches the Rfam family "Bacterial small subunit ribosomal RNA", at positions 524 to 776 of the family's 1533-position model. The record is from RNAcentral.